RNAcentral lists this transfer RNA (74 nucleotides) under Meitanaphis elongallis. Its description in RNAcentral is "tRNA-Met". Lineage: Eukaryota; Metazoa; Arthropoda; Insecta; Hemiptera; Aphididae. The record is from RNAcentral.
AGAAAAAUAAGCUAAAUUUAAGCUUUUGGAUUCAUACUUCAAAUAUAGAUUAAAAUCUUUUUUCUAAUUAACUU